This 455-nucleotide ribosomal RNA is filed under the name uncultured bacterium. Its description in RNAcentral is "bacterial SSU rRNA". It matches the Rfam family "Bacterial small subunit ribosomal RNA", at positions 28 to 507 of the family's 1533-position model. The record is from RNAcentral.
GAUGAACGCUAGCGGUGUGCCUAAUGCAUGCAAGUCGAACGGGAUCCUUUGGAUUCGUCUGAAGGUGAGAGUGGCGAACGGGUGAGUAACACGUAGGUGACCUGCCCCGGAGAGGGGGACAACCACUGGAAACGGUGGCUAAUACCCCAGAUGUUAUUGCGCUUAGAAAGCAAUUACUAAAGUUCCGGCGCUCCGGGAGGGGCCUGCGGCCCAUCAGCUUGUUGGUAAGGUAAUGGCUUACCAAGGCUAAGACGGGUAGGGGGCGUGAGAGCGUGACCCCCCACACUGGUACUGAGACACGGACCAGAUACCUGCGGGUAGCAGCAGCAAGGAAUAUUGCCCAAUGGACGAAAGUCUGAGGCAGCAACACCGCGUGGAGGAUGAAGGCCUUCGGUUGUAACUCUUUCUGGGGAAGAGAAGGACGGUACCCAGGAUAAGUCUCGGCUAACUACGUG